AACAUUUUAUUCUUUUUCCUAACCCUAACUUAACCCUAAGAGACCGCCUCCUUCACUUCACCUUUCUUUCUAUUGUUCAGACAAACACAGCCCAUCUCCCUCUCUCUUUUGUAUGAAUUUCCUAACCCUAGUAGACAUAAGGAUGCCGCCUCCCUCCUCUCUCUCUCUCUCUCUCUCUCUUUCUCUGUAUCAGCUUUGCACUUUCCCUUACCUGACGCGCACACACACCACCAUUGGCAAGUUUUUCUACCAUAAAAACUCAAACAAGGGUGCAAAUAAGGCAAGGGCCGGCGACGGUACUCUAUCCCACGACUCUCUUUGCUCUCUCAUUUGGCACUCAACAACAAUCUCCCUCCGUCCAGGACCACACCAAAUCAGUCCAACACCCAUAUUGAGCUCAAAGAAUUAAUGUUGAAAAUGCCAACUAGUAAAUAAAAACUCUAUAGCUAUUUUGCUUGACUGGGAAUAAUUAAAAUAAAGGUAUUUUGUCCACUCCUUGAUUUGAUUAACAUAUAACUUGUAUUUGUUGAUAUUUUCUAACUUCAAACUUUAUUUGUUCAAUUUUUUGGUGCUCAUUGAUUUAUGUUCAGAUUUUUUUGUUGUUGCUGUUUUCCUUUUAGUAGUUAUAGAAUAUAUAUAGUAGUUUUAUAUAGAUUGCCCAUAAAUUUGAAUAAUUUUCUAUGUUGAAUUGUUGGUAAUGAACUUGAGGACAAGGAUACCAAAAGGAGAAGACUUGAUAUUCUUGAUUGAUGAUGUUGGAAAUAUUAUAUGUUAUUUUUUUCAAGUUUGUAGUCACUCACUGUGAUUGUCUAGUUACUCAUAGGCAAUUUAUGAGGGACAAUUUUUUUUACAGUUUUAAGACUUGGAUUUUGGAUGACUAAUAAACUUUGAAUGAUUUUUCUAUUUUCUUUAAUUUAGGUAUGAAUUUGUGACCA
Cannabis sativa is the source of this 935-nucleotide long non-coding RNA. RefSeq lists it as uncharacterized. The transcript has 3 exons. The record is from RefSeq and is a predicted model, not a curated record. NCBI's taxonomy places the organism in Eukaryota, Viridiplantae, Streptophyta, Magnoliopsida, Rosales, Cannabaceae.